AUGUGCAGCGCUCGCAGCCGCUUGGCCUCGUCGAUGAACGGCCGCUUCUCCGUCUCCGACAAAAGUUUCCACUCGGCGCCCAGGCGCUUGCUGAUCUCCGAGUUGUGCAUCUUGGGGUUCUCCUGGGCCAUCUUGCGCCGCUGCCCGCGGGACCACACCAUGAAGGCGUUCAUGGGCCGCUUGACGCGGUCCGGGCUGUUCUUCUGGUUGCCGCCCGCCGCCGCCGCGGUGGAGUUGCCGCCGCCGCCGCCGCCGCCGCCGCCCCCCGAAGUUUGCUGCGGGCCCGGCGGCUUCAGCUCCGUCUCCAUCAUGUUGUACAUGCGGGCGCUGUGCGCGGGCCCGGCCCGCCGGCGGCCGCCGACCCUCGGCCCGGCCGGGACUUUGGGGGGCCCGCGGGCGGGCGGGCGGGGGAGGAGGAGGAGGGAGGCGGGCGGGGGUGUCGCGAGCGCAGGGCUCCGCGAGAAAAAGCAGGCGAAGAAUAAUUUGGGGGAAGAAAAGAGAGAGAGAGAGAGAGAAGCAAACUGGAAUCGAGAUCAAAAAAAGCGCUUCCCUCCUCUUCUGGCCGAUCCUGCCGCCGCCGAUGAUUGUUAUUAUUAUUUUUUGGAAAGGCUUAAGCCUGGGGCUCAAACUUCUCUCCCUUUCUUUCUCUCUCCUCUUCUUUCUCUCAGUCCUAGUCUUAAAGAGGCAGCAAACUACUUUCCCCCUUUUGCAAACACUCUCUUCUCUGCCUUGACAACUCCUGAUACUUUUUUGAACAAGUUAAUAGACAACCAUCCAUGUGAUGGGGGCUGUCAGGGAAUAAAUGGGUUUCCGGCGACCAAUCAGCGCGCGGCGGCUCCUCCACUCGAGCCCGGCCUCGCCGCCGGGUUUUGCAUGAAAGGGGGCGGGGCCUGCCGCGCCGCAGGCCGCGCGGGGGAGGAGGGGGAGGGGGGAGGGGGGGAGGGGGGGGAGGGGGAGGCGGAGGGGGGAGGCGGCUCCCACAGCCAGCCUGCCAGCCACUGA
Molecule: long non-coding RNA, 1002 nt
Filed under: Canis lupus familiaris (dog)
Lineage: Eukaryota; Metazoa; Chordata; Mammalia; Carnivora; Canidae
Description: lncRNA (ENSCAFG00030015620.1)
Source: RNAcentral